UAGGGAAUAUUGGUCAAUGGAGGCAACUCUGAACCAGCCAUGCCGCGUGUAGGAAGAAGGCGUUCUGCGUUGUAAACUACUUUUGAUUGGGAACAAAUGACUCUUGCGAGAGUAGCUGAGUGUACCAAUAGAAUAAGCCACGGCUAACUACGUGCCAGCAGCCGCGGUAAUACGUAGGUGGCAAGCGUUGUCCGGAUUUAUUGGGUUUAAAGGGUGCGUAGGCGGCUUGAUAAGUCAGUGGUGAAAGCCGAUCGCUUAACGAUCGAACUGCCAUUGAUACUGUUGGGCUUGAGUAUAGAUGAGGUAGGCGGAAUUGACAGUGUAGCGGUGAAAUGCAUAGAUAUUGUCAAGAACACCAAUUGCGAAGGCAGCUUACUAAGUUAUAACUGACGCUGAGGCACGAAAGUGCGGGGAUCAAACA
RNAcentral lists this ribosomal RNA (421 nucleotides) under uncultured Cytophaga sp. RNAcentral's name for it is "bacterial SSU rRNA". It matches the Rfam family "Bacterial small subunit ribosomal RNA", at positions 355 to 774 of the family's 1533-position model. Lineage: Bacteria; Pseudomonadati; Bacteroidota; Cytophagia; Cytophagales; Cytophagaceae. The record is from RNAcentral.